Molecule: long non-coding RNA, 688 nt
Organism: Acinonyx jubatus (cheetah)
Lineage: Eukaryota; Metazoa; Chordata; Mammalia; Carnivora; Felidae
Exons: 3
Source: RefSeq, a predicted model, not a curated record
UCUAUCCUUUAUGUGUUCCACCUCUGCUUGGAGGACUCAGCCUCCUCCUAAGAAUCACGUUAAAUAUGCUUUCCUCUCUACACAAAUAAUUUGCUUUUGUUACAGGAAAUCCAGAAGGCAGAGAGGAAGGUAAAAAUUGCCUACAACACCAUCAUCCAGAGAUCACCACUAUCAGCAUUCUGGCUGUUCCCCUGCCUUUGACAUCUCUAUCUCCCAACCUGCUGUGACACUCACUUUAAGAUCCAGGGUCCUGGUUCCCGAACCAGCCACAGAGUGACAUCAGCAGUGUUAGCCAGACCCAGGAUGUGGACGUGCACUGGAAGGGUUCGACUCCAGGGCAAAUCCAGGCGGAGGGUAUGGAGGUAGAGCUACCGUCUGUCACCACACAAACCAUUAAGGAAGCCUUUCCCCUUUAAGGGCUGUCAUUGCAGUAGUAACGAGUGGCUCAUUUAGCAGAGAUUCCCAGAGGAAGCAAGGAGAGCGAAGUUGAAUUAUGCCCCAUCUACACAUACCCAGGUAUGUGCUGGAGUUUAAGAAGAUGUAGCCCAGGAAUACCCAGAGAAAAGAAAUCAACACAUUUAGGAAGCCAAAUUCACUUACUGGUGCCAAAUGCUUUGUUGUUAAUAAAAACGUUUGUUCAAAAAGGCCCAGUGACAUUCAGGGAAUCAUGAGCUGAAAUCUCCCACCG